GGGCGAACAGGACACCUCCGCUACGCGUCGGUGUCCUGUUCGCCCUGUCGGGGCU
This 55-nucleotide microRNA precursor is filed under the name Gadus morhua (Atlantic cod). RNAcentral's name for it is "microRNA gmo-mir-11191 precursor". The record is from miRBase by way of RNAcentral. Lineage: Eukaryota; Metazoa; Chordata; Actinopteri; Gadiformes; Gadidae.